Molecule: ribosomal RNA, 796 nt
Filed under: uncultured archaeon
Lineage: Archaea
Description: bacterial SSU rRNA
Rfam family: Archaeal small subunit ribosomal RNA
Source: RNAcentral
ACUGCUCAGUAACACGUGGAUAACCUGCCCUUGGGUCCGGCAUAACCCCGGGAAACUGGGGAUAAUUCCGGAUAACGCAUAUGUGCUGGAAUGCUUUAUGCGUCAAAUGGAUUCGUCUGCCCAAGGAUGGGUCUGCGGCCUAUCAGGUAGUAGUGGGUGUAAUGUACCUACUAGCCGACAAUGGGUACGGGUUGUGAGAGCAAGAGCCCGGAGAUGGAUUCUGAGACAUGAAUCCAGGCCCUACGGGGCGCAGCAGGCGCGAAAACUUUACAAUGCGGGAAACCGUGAUAAGGGGACACCGAGUGUCAGCAUCAUAUGCUGGCUGUCCAGGUGUGUAAAAUACACCUGUUAGCAAGGGCCGGGCAAGACCGGUGCCAGCCGCCGCGGUAACACCGGCGGCCCGAGUGGUGAUCGUGAUUAUUGGGUCUAAAGGGUCCGUAGCCGGUUUGGUCAGUCCUCCGGGAAAUCUGAUAGCUCAACUAUUAGGCUAUCGGGGGAUACUACCAGACUUGGAACCGGGAGAGGUAAGAGGUACUACAGGGGUAGGAGUGAAAUCUUGUAAUCCCUGUGGGACCACCUGUGGCGAAGGCGUCUUACCAGAACGGGUUCGACGGUGAGGGACGAAAGCUGGGGGCACGAACCGGAUUAGUUACCCGGGUAGUCCCAGCCGUAAACGAUGCUCGCUAGGUGUCAGGCAUGGCGCGACCGUGUCUGGUGCCGCAGGGAAGCCGUGAAGCGAGCCACCUGGGAAGUACGGCCGCAAGGCUGAAACUUAAAGGAAUUGGCGGGGGAGCAC